Molecule: long non-coding RNA, 302 nt
Organism: Dinoponera quadriceps
Lineage: Eukaryota; Metazoa; Arthropoda; Insecta; Hymenoptera; Formicidae
Exons: 3
Source: RefSeq, a predicted model, not a curated record
CCCCGUUGGAACAUCCGUCGACUUUCUCCACGGUCUUUGGAAUUGUGUGAAUAGUGCCGUUCGCAACAGAGCCAUUCACUCGAGAGUCUAAGGUUCUAAAUGGUGGCUGAAAAAUUCCGACAGCUCGGUCAUUAUCCUCACCACCUCGUCCAUAGACGGUCUUUCUUCAGGUGCUUUCUGCCAACAUCUGUCGUGAGAGUUAGCAAUGUUGAGCGGAGAUGGUAUAAAGAGACGUUGUUGUUGCACUAAGCUUGCCUUACCUGUGUAUCAAUGGUUUUGGCUUCAUAUUAUGAAGAUACGCA